UGAGUACGAGAUGCUACGGCAUCGAAGCAGUCUAUGUCAUACUUCCAAGAAAAGCUUGCACUGUCAUAAACAAAGAAUGCCUGUACCAUAACCGACACAGGUGGGUAGGUAGAGUAUACUAAGGGGCGCGAGAUAACUCUCUCUAAGGAACUCGGCAAAAUGACUCCGUAACUUCGGGAGAAGGAGUGCCUUAUUUCUAAGGUUGCAAUAACAAGAUCCAAGCAACUGUUUACCAAAAACACAGGUCUCCGCUAAGUCGUAAGACGAUGUAUGGGGGCUGACGCCUGCCCAGUGCCAGAAGGUUAAAGAAGUUGGUUAGCAUUAGCGAAGCUGAUAACUGAAGCCCUGGUGAACGGCGGCCGUAACAAUAACGGUCCUAAGGUAGCGAAAUUCCUUGUCGGGUAAGUUCCGACCCGCACGAAAGGCGUAAUGAUUUGGAUACUGUCUCGGAGAGGGGCUCGGUGAAAUAGACUUGUCUGUGAAGAUGCGGACUACCUGCACCUGGACAGAAAGACCCUAUGAAGCUUUACUGUAACUUGAGAUUGAAAUUGGACUUUAUUUGCGCAGUAUAGGUGGGAGGCGUUGAGAAUAAUCUUGCGGGAUUGUUGGAGCCAUCAGUGAGAUACCACUCUUGUAAUGUUAGAUUUCUAACUUUGUAUCAUUAUCUGGUCAAAGAACAGUUUCAGGCGGGCAGUUUGACUGGGGCGGUCGCCUCCCAAAGGGUAACGGAGGCGCACAAAGGUUUCCUCUGAACGGGUAGAAAUCGUAUCUAGAGUGUAAAGGCAUAAGGAAGCUUGACUGUGAGACCUACAAGUCGAGCAGGGACGAAAGUCGGUCUUAGUGAUCUGACGGUGCUGAGUGGAAAGGCCGUCACUCAACGGAUAAAAGUUACUCUAGGAUAACAGGCUGAUCUCCCCCGAGAGUUCACAUCGACGGGGAGGUUUGGCACCUCGAUGUCGGCUCAUCGCAUCCUGGGGCGGUAGUCCGUCCCAAGGGUUGGGCUGUUCGCCCAUGAAAGCGGUACGCGAGCUGGGUUCAGAACGUCGUGAGACAGUUCGGUCCAUAUCCGGUGUAGGCGUUAGAAUAUUGAGAGGAGCCUUCUCUAGUACGAGAGGACCGAGAAGGACAUACCUCUGGUGUACCAGUUAUCGUGCCAACGGUAAACGCUGGGUAGCUAUGUAUGGAGUGGAUAGCCGCUGAAAGCAUCUAAGUGGGAAGCCCACCUCAAGAUAAGUAUUCUCAUC
RNAcentral lists this ribosomal RNA (1244 nucleotides) under metagenome. RNAcentral's name for it is "bacterial LSU rRNA". It matches the Rfam family "Bacterial large subunit ribosomal RNA", at positions 1564 to 2818 of the family's 2925-position model. The record is from RNAcentral.